RNAcentral lists this ribosomal RNA (2923 nucleotides) under Klebsiella pneumoniae. RNAcentral's name for it is "bacterial LSU rRNA". It matches the Rfam family "Bacterial large subunit ribosomal RNA". The record is from RNAcentral. Lineage: Bacteria; Pseudomonadati; Pseudomonadota; Gammaproteobacteria; Enterobacterales; Enterobacteriaceae.
GGGUUGUGAGGUUAAGCGACUAAGCGUACACGGUGGAUGCCCUGGCAGUCAGAGGCGAUGAAGGACGUGCUAAUCUGCGAAAAGCGUCGGUAAGGUGAUAUGAACCGUUAUAACCGGCGAUGUCCGAAUGGGGAAACCCAGUGCAAUUCGUUGCACUAUCGUUAACUGAAUACAUAGGUUAACGAGGCGAACCGGGGGAACUGAAACAUCUAAGUACCCCGAGGAAAAAAAAUCAACCGAGAUUCCCCCAGUAGCGGCGAGCGAACGGGGAGCAGCCCAGAGUCUGAAUCAGCUUGUGUGUUAGUGGAACGGUCUGGAAAGUCCGACGGUACAGGGUGAUAGUCCCGUACACCAAAAUGCACAGGCUGUGAACUCGAAGAGUAGGGCGGGACACGUGGUAUCCUGUCUGAAUAUGGGGGGACCAUCCUCCAAGGCUAAAUACUCCUGACUGACCGAUAGUGAACCAGUACCGUGAGGGAAAGGCGAAAAGAACCCCGGCGAGGGGAGUGAAAAAGAACCUGAAACCGUGUACGUACAAGCAGUGGGAGCACCUUCGGGUGUGACUGCGUACCUUUUGUAUAAUGGGUCAGCGACUUAUAUUCUGUAGCAAGGUUAACCGUAUAGGGGAGCCGCAGGGAAACCGAGUCUUAACUGGGCGUUAAGUUGCAGGGUAUAGACCCGAAACCCGGUGAUCUAGCCAUGGGCAGGUUGAAGGUUGGGUAACACUAACUGGAGGACCGAACCGACUAAUGUUGAAAAAUUAGCGGAUGACUUGUGGCUGGGGGUGAAAGGCCAAUCAAACCGGGAGAUAGCUGGUUCUCCCCGAAAGCUAUUUAGGUAGCGCCUCGUGAACUCAUCUUCGGGGGUAGAGCACUGUUUCGGCUAGGGGGUCAUCCCGACUUACCAACCCGAUGCAAACUACGAAUACCGAAGAAUGUUAUCACGGGAGACACACGGCGGGUGCUAACGUCCGUCGUGAAGAGGGAAACAACCCAGACCGCCAGCUAAGGUCCCAAAGUCAUGGUUAAGUGGGAAACGAUGUGGGAAGGCACAGACAGCCAGGAUGUUGGCUUAGAAGCAGCCAUCAUUUAAAGAAAGCGUAAUAGCUCACUGGUCGAGUCGGCCUGCGCGGAAGAUGUAACGGGGCUAAACCAUGCACCGAAGCUGCGGCAGCGACACUAUGUGUUGUUGGGUAGGGGAGCGUUCUGUAAGCCUGCGAAGGUGUGCUGUGAGGCAUGCUGGAGGUAUCAGAAGUGCGAAUGCUGACAUAAGUAACGAUAAAGCGGGUGAAAAGCCCGCUCGCCGGAAGACCAAGGGUUCCUGUCCAACGUUAAUCGGGGCAGGGUGAGUCGACCCCUAAGGCGAGGCCGAAAGGCGUAGUCGAUGGGAAACAGGUUAAUAUUCCUGUACUUGGUGUUACUGCGAAGGGGGGACGGAGAAGGCUAUGUUAGCCGGGCGACGGUUGUCCCGGUUUAAGCAUGUAGGCUGGUUAUCCAGGCAAAUCCGGAUAAUCAAGGCUGAGGUGUGAUGACGAGGCACUACGGUGCUGAAGUAACAAAUGCCCUGCUUCCAGGAAAAGCCUCUAAGCAUCAGGUAACAUCAAAUCGUACCCCAAACCGACACAGGUGGUCAGGUAGAGAAUACCAAGGCGCUUGAGAGAACUCGGGUGAAGGAACUAGGCAAAAUGGUGCCGUAACUUCGGGAGAAGGCACGCUGGUGUGUAGGUGAAGUCCCUGCGGAUGGAGCUGAGACCAGUCGAAGAUACCAGCUGGCUGCAACUGUUUAUUAAAAACACAGCACUGUGCAAACACGAAAGUGGACGUAUACGGUGUGACGCCUGCCCGGUGCCGGAAGGUUAAUUGAUGGGGUUAUCCGUAAGGAGAAGCUCUUGAUCGAAGCCCCGGUAAACGGCGGCCGUAACUAUAACGGUCCUAAGGUAGCGAAAUUCCUUGUCGGGUAAGUUCCGACCUGCACGAAUGGCGUAAUGAUGGCCAGGCUGUCUCCACCCGAGACUCAGUGAAAUUGAACUCGCUGUGAAGAUGCAGUGUACCCGCGGCAAGACGGAAAGACCCCGUGAACCUUUACUAUAGCUUGACACUGAACAUUGAGCCUUGAUGUGUAGGAUAGGUGGGAGGCUUUGAAGCGUGGACGCCAGUCUGCGUGGAGCCAACCUUGAAAUACCACCCUUUAAUGUUUGAUGUUCUAACGUUGGCCCCUUACCGGGGUUGCGGACAGUGUCUGGUGGGUAGUUUGACUGGGGCGGUCUCCUCCCAAAGCGUAACGGAGGAGCACGAAGGUUAGCUAAUCCUGGUCGGACAUCAGGAGGUUAGUGCAAUGGCAUAAGCUAGCUUGACUGCGAGCGUGACGGCGCGAGCAGGUGCGAAAGCAGGUCAUAGUGAUCCGGUGGUUCUGAAUGGAAGGGCCAUCGCUCAACGGAUAAAAGGUACUCCGGGGAUAACAGGCUGAUACCGCCCAAGAGUUCAUAUCGACGGCGGUGUUUGGCACCUCGAUGUCGGCUCAUCACAUCCUGGGGCUGAAGUAGGUCCCAAGGGUAUGGCUGUUCGCCAUUUAAAGUGGUACGCGAGCUGGGUUUAGAACGUCGUGAGACAGUUCGGUCCCUAUCUGCCGUGGGCGCUGGAGAAUUGAGGGGGGCUGCUCCUAGUACGAGAGGACCGGAGUGGACGCAUCACUGGUGUUCGGGUUGUCAUGCCAAUGGCACUGCCCGGUAGCUAAAUGCGGAAGAGAUAAGUGCUGAAAGCAUCUAAGCACGAAACUUGCCCCGAGAUGAGUUCUCCCUGAGACUUUAAGUCUCCUGAAGGAACGUUGAAGACGACGACGUUGAUAGGCCGGGUGUGUAAGCGCAGCGAUGCGUUGAGCUAACCGGUACUAAUGAACCGUGAGGCUUAACCUUACAACGCCGAAG